This 253-nucleotide ribosomal RNA is filed under the name uncultured bacterium. RNAcentral describes it as "partial 16S ribosomal RNA". It matches the Rfam family "Bacterial small subunit ribosomal RNA", at positions 524 to 776 of the family's 1533-position model. The record is from RNAcentral.
UACGGAGGGUGCAAGCGUUAUCCGGAUUCACUGGGUUUAAAGGGUGCGUAGGUGGGUUUGUAAGUCAGUGGUGAAAUCCCGAAGCUUAACUUCGGAACUGCCAUUGAUACUAUAAGUCUUGAAUAUUGUGGAGGUGAGCGGAAUAUGUCAUGUAGCGGUGAAAUGCUUAGAUAUGACAGAGAACACCAAUUGCGUAGGCAGCUCACUAGUCAUAUAUUGACACUGAGGCACGAAAGCGUGGGGAUCAAACAGG